Molecule: ribosomal RNA, 465 nt
Filed under: uncultured bacterium
Lineage: Bacteria
Description: bacterial SSU rRNA
Rfam family: Bacterial small subunit ribosomal RNA
Source: RNAcentral
CUACGGGAGGCAGCAGUGGGGAAUAUUGCACAAUGGGGGAAACCCUGAUGCAGCAAUGCCGCGUGUGUGAAGAAGGCCUGCGGGUUGUAAAGCACUUUCAAUUGGAAAGAAAAGGGGUUGGCUAAUACCUGACCUUCUUGACGUUACCUUUAGAAGAAGCACCGGCUAACUCCGUGCCAGCAGCCGCGGUAAUACGGAGGGUGCAAGCGUUAAUCGGAAUUACUGGGCGUAAAGCGUACGUAGGCGGUUAGGUCAGUCAGAUGUGAAAGCCCCGGGCUUAACCUGGGAACUGCAUUUGAUACUGCCUGACUGGAGUGUGGUAGAGGGAAGUGGAAUUCCGGGUGUAGCGGUGAAAUGCGUAGAUAUCCGGAGGAACACCAGUGGCGAAGGCGGCUUCCUGGACCAACACUGACGCUGAGGUACGAAAGCGUGGGUAGCAAACAGGAUUAGAUACCCGUGUAGUCC